AAUCUACCUUUUGCUGAGGGAUAGCCCAGAGAAAUUUGGAUUAAUACCUCAUGGUAUUAUUGAUAGGCAUCUAUUAAUAAUUAAAGGUUACGGCAAAAGAUGAGUAUGCGUCCCAUUAGCUAGUUGGCGAGGUAACGGCUCACCAAGGCAACGAUGGGUAGGGGUCCUGAGAGGGAGAUCCCCCACACUGGUACUGAGACACGGACCAGACUCCUACGGGAGGCAGCAGUGGGGAAUUUUCCGCAAUGGGCGAAAGCCUGACGGAGCAACGCCGCGUGAGGGAUGAAGGCCUCUGGGCUGUAAACCUCUUUUAUCAAGGAAGAAGAUCUGACGGUACUUGAUGAAUAAGCCACGGCUAAUUCCGUGCCAGCAGCCGCGGUAAUACGGAGGGAGCUAGCGUUGUUCGGAAUUACUGGGCGUAAAGCGCACGUAGGCGGAUUUUUAAGUUAGAGGUGAAAUCCCAGGGCUCAACCCUGGAACUG
This 482-nucleotide ribosomal RNA is filed under the name Pteridomonas danica. RNAcentral's name for it is "partial Bacterial small subunit ribosomal RNA". It matches the Rfam family "Bacterial small subunit ribosomal RNA", at positions 123 to 623 of the family's 1533-position model. Lineage: Eukaryota; Dictyochophyceae; Pedinellales. The record is from RNAcentral.